RNAcentral lists this ribosomal RNA (468 nucleotides) under uncultured bacterium. Its description in RNAcentral is "partial 16S ribosomal RNA". It matches the Rfam family "Bacterial small subunit ribosomal RNA", at positions 28 to 507 of the family's 1533-position model. The record is from RNAcentral.
GAUGAACGCUGGCGGCGUGCUUAACACAUGCAAGUCGAACGGUGAAGGCGGAGCUUGCUCUGCUGGCUCAGUGGCGUACGGGUGAGUACCACGUGAGCAAUCUGCCCCUGAUUCCGGGCUAAGCGCUGGAAACUGCGUCUUAUACUGGAUACGAGCUGCGACGGCAUCUUCAGCAGCUGGAAAGAACUCCGGUCAGGGAUGAGCUCGCGGCCUAUCAGCUUGUUGGUGAGGUACCGGCUCACCAAGGCGUCGACCGGUAGGCGGCCUGAGAGGGUGACAGGCCACACUGGGACUGAGACGCGGCACAGACUCCUACGGGACGCAGCGGUGCAGAAUGGAGCACUAUAGGCGAAAGCCUGAUGCAGCAACGCCGCGUGGGGGGCGACGGGCAUCGGGUUGGAAACCAAUGUUAGCAGAGAAGAAGCGAAAGUGACGGUACCUGCGUAAAAAGCGCCGGCUAACUACGUG